This 75-nucleotide ribosomal RNA is filed under the name Clostridium botulinum. RNAcentral's name for it is "partial 23S ribosomal RNA". It matches the Rfam family "Bacterial large subunit ribosomal RNA", at positions 1 to 74 of the family's 2925-position model. The record is from RNAcentral. Lineage: Bacteria; Bacillati; Bacillota; Clostridia; Eubacteriales; Clostridiaceae.
AGAUCAAGCUACAAAGGGCGCACGGUGAAUGCCCUGGCACUAGGAGCCGAUGAAGGACGUGAUAAGCUGCGAUAA